GGGGAUGUAGCUCAGUUGGCAGAGCACCUGCUUUGCAAGCAGGGGGUCGUCGGUUCAAAUCCGAUCAUCUCCA
This 73-nucleotide transfer RNA is filed under the name Acidimicrobiales bacterium. RNAcentral describes it as "tRNA-Ala". It matches the Rfam family "tRNA". From Rfam's summary of the family: Transfer RNA (tRNA) molecules are approximately 80 nucleotides in length. Their secondary structure includes four short double-helical elements and three loops (D, anti-codon, and T loops). The record is from RNAcentral. Lineage: Bacteria; Bacillati; Actinomycetota; Acidimicrobiia; Acidimicrobiales. RNAcentral also lists the same sequence under 1 other name.